This 479-nucleotide ribosomal RNA is filed under the name uncultured bacterium. RNAcentral's name for it is "bacterial SSU rRNA". It matches the Rfam family "Bacterial small subunit ribosomal RNA", at positions 11 to 502 of the family's 1533-position model. The record is from RNAcentral.
GUUUGAUCCUGGCUCAGAGUGAACGCUGGCGGCGUGCUUAACACAUGCAAGUCGAACGAGAACGGAUUAAAGCUUGCUUUAAUUGUCAGCUAAGUGGCGCACGGGUGAGUAAUAUAUAGGUAACGUGCCUUCAAGAAGGGGAUAACGUUUGGAAACGAACGCUAAUACCCUAUAUGCCUUUAUCCCAUAAGGGAGCAAGGGAAAUAUUUAUAGCUUGAAGAUCGGCCUGUACGGUAUCAGCUUGUUGGUGAGGUAAUGGCUCACCAAGGCAAUGACACCUAACUGGUUUGAGAGGAUGAUCAGUCACACUGGAACUGAGACACGGUCCAGACUCCUACGGGAGGCAGCAGUGGGGAAUAUUGCACAAUGGACGAAAGUCUGAUGCAGCAACGCCGCGUGGAGGAUGACACAUUUCGGUGCGUAAACUCCUUUUAUAUGGGAAGAUAAUGACGGUACCAUAUGAAUAAGCACCGCUAACU